This 591-nucleotide ribosomal RNA is filed under the name Triticum aestivum (bread wheat). RNAcentral's name for it is "partial small subunit ribosomal RNA". Lineage: Eukaryota; Viridiplantae; Streptophyta; Magnoliopsida; Poales; Poaceae. The record is from RNAcentral.
AUGCCUGGCCUGGUACACAUGUUUGAGCAGUUCCAGGGAGGGCAGAGCACUCAAGAAAUCAGCUCAGCCUGGAACUGCAAGAUGGACACGAUGUGGAUGGAUGCACUUAGGAAAUUGUGCAACGGUAGACAGCUGCAUUGGAUUCAGUUCAAGACACGAUGCUACUCAAUUGCCUUCCUCCUCAGAACACAUGCGCCCACGACCCUCCCAUCCCGCCUUCCUCCUCAGAACACCUGCGCCCAUGACAGAAAAAAAAAUGUUCAUAAUCCCCCACUUCACAUAAAGAAGGAGCACCGACAGGCAGGUGUGGAGAACCGGGCCCGUGCCUUGCACCAGGCGGCGGCGAAGGCGGAGGCCGCCGACGCGGAGUGGGCGGAGGCCAUCCACGGGGGGCGAGAGCUCCAGCGCGCGGAGCAGCAGGAGGAGGGGGCGAGGGUGAUAUGGGCAAAGGUGCAGGCCUUGAGGCACAUAUCUGACGGAGGGAGGGAGGGAGGGGCGGAGCUUGAGGAGCUUGGGGGCGUGUUGCGCGCAGCCGGAGCUCGCCGGUACCGGCCGGCAUGGGUGGUGGCCGCGGCGAGGAGAGUGGGGUAG